RNAcentral lists this ribosomal RNA (508 nucleotides) under uncultured bacterium. Its description in RNAcentral is "partial 16S ribosomal RNA". It matches the Rfam family "Bacterial small subunit ribosomal RNA", at positions 28 to 507 of the family's 1533-position model. The record is from RNAcentral.
GACGAACGCUGGCGGCGUGCCUAAUACAUGCAAGUCGAACGCUUCUUUCCUCCCGAGUGCUUGCACUCAAUUGGAAAGAGGAGUGGCGGACGGGUGAGUAACACGUGGGUAACCUACCCAUCAGAGGGGGAUAACACUUGGAAACAGGUGCUAAUACCGCAUAACAGUUUAUGCCGCAUGGCAUAAGAGUGAAAGGCGCUUUCGGGUGUCGCUGAUGGAUGGACCCGCGGUGCAUUAGCUAGUUGGUGAGGUAACGGCUCACCAAGGCCACGAUGCAUAGCCGACCUGAGAGGGUGAUCGGCCACACUGGGACUGAGACACGGCCCAGACUCCUACGGGAGGCAGCAGUAGGGAAUCUUCGGCAAUGGACGAAAGUCUGACCAAGCAACGCCGCGUGAGUGAAGAAGGUGUUCGGAUCGUAAAACUCUGUUGUUAGAGAAGAACAAGGACGUUAGUAACUGAACGUCCCCUGACGGUAUCUAACCAGAAAGCCACGGCUAACUACGUG